This 462-nucleotide ribosomal RNA is filed under the name uncultured bacterium. Its description in RNAcentral is "partial 16S ribosomal RNA". It matches the Rfam family "Bacterial small subunit ribosomal RNA", at positions 28 to 507 of the family's 1533-position model. The record is from RNAcentral.
GACGAACGCUGGCGGCGUGCUUAACACAUGCAAGUCGAACGGAAAGGCCCUUCGGGGUACUCGAGUGGCGAACGGGUGAGUAACACGUGGGUGAUCUGCCCUGCACUUUGGGAUAAGCCUGGGAAACUGGGUCUAAUACCGAAUAGGACCACGCGCUUCAUGGUGUGUGGUGGAAAGCUUUUGCGGUGUGGGAUGGGCCCGCGGCCUAUCAGCUUGUUGGUGGGGUAAUGGCCUACCAAGGCGACGACGGGUAGCCGGCCUGAGAGGGUGACCGGCCACACUGGGACUGAGAGACGGCCCAGACUCCUACGGUAGGCAGCAGUGGGGAAUAUUGCACAAUGGGCGCAAGCCUGAUGCAGCGACGCCGCGUGAGGGAUGACGGCCUUCGGGUUGUAAACCUCUUUCAAUAGGGACGAAGCGCAAGUGACGGUACCUAUAGAAGAAGCACCGGCCAACUACGUG